This 1478-nucleotide long non-coding RNA is filed under the name Equus caballus (horse). RNAcentral's name for it is "lncRNA (ENSECAG00000059715.1)". Lineage: Eukaryota; Metazoa; Chordata; Mammalia; Perissodactyla; Equidae. The record is from RNAcentral.
UUCCAUUAAACUUUGGUCACUUUUUCAUUGAAAAAUGUGGUAACAUAUUUUUCUCGAAAAGGAUCUACUUUCUGAAAUUAAACUCCAACUUAAAGUAGAAGGCACUCAUUGUCAGAUCUGUUUAACAUUUUUGAGUAAUUAUGAAAAUAUGGCUGUUGAAUCUAAGAGUCAAGACGGUGACUGAUUCCCAGCUGUAAUCUAGUAUAAUGCCAGGGAAAUCAGAUGGGAUCCUGGCUGGUUUCCACUUCCUGAGGCUUUUUAUUCUGAGUUUAUUUUUAAGACUAAUUAUCCUCACCUACAUAAACUUCCUGGAUUCCAGAAUACGUAAUUGGCUGGUCAAGUGUCUCUGCUAUCCAGAUGAGAGUUACCUAUCACGCAUCCUCAAAGGGACCCAAAAUUUGGACCAGAUGCCACCCAUUCAGAUGUGCCAAGAGGAACAGAAGCGUUAAAUUGUGGCAGUAUUGGCCAACAUGUGUAGCUCAUUGUUGCAAACAAGUGCUCAGCCAAUGGAGUGGCAUAUUGUCAUUGUGACCCAUAACUGUUGGAAGAGUUCCAGAAAUGACAUUAUGCAUUAAUACAGAGCAGGUGGCAGGACUGGAGCAUCAAUCCUGUCCCAUUGAGGUAUGAGCAGGAGCUUUGUGCUCCAGCUCCACAGGGCCCUUCCUCUCAGUUUCUGAGGUUCCAGCAGCAACCAGAAGAAGAUCAUAGCUGGGUGCUGGCAACAUGAAGAUCUUUGAUGACGUGACAAGAGCAGCCUCCGCAGUGUGAUAGGAAAUGAAACCUGAGCGCAGCGAGGGGGGCAGAGAUGUUGAAAUGAGAAAGUCAUGACAACCUCCACAGAUACCUCUUUCCAGAGGCUUUGCUGUGAAGACUGAAACAACUGGGAACUUAUGUGGGAUGAAGAGCUGCCUCCGGUGGUCUCGGCAGUGUCUCAAGUCUCCCGUCGGGUAGAUUCUUGCAGAAUGAGGCUGGAAGUGCCACUCAGAGGAUCUGAUUCUAACCUCUGCAUAAGCAAAAACCCAGGCCUUGUGUUCCUCAAUUGGGGCCUGGGCUCUCAUAUGCCACUUAUUUUUUCUUAAGUGGAGCAAAGAUUGUGUCAAUAAAAGCAAAGAAUACUUGUUUCAUAUAUAUUUAAAGCUGACGAGUACUUUGUAUAUCACAUUAAGUAGGAAAUUGCUCCAGCCACACUUUGGUAUAUGCGAAUUUGUCAAUCCAUGCUUCUUGUUGAAAAUUUCCUAAGUCAUUGUCCUAAAACAUUUUAAGUAGGAAAGGAUUAUUUGUCAUGAUUGCUGAAAAACUAUCUUUGAGGGAGCACAGCGUCAGAGGUCCUUUAAUUCACUUGGUGGUUAAAAUGUGGGCAAGCACUGAAAGUAAUAUGAAUUCAGACUAAAACAAGAGAUGUGAGUCCAUUCUACUCUCUACUAGACAGAUGCCAUUUAGAGCAGUGCCCAACCUGGGUUUUCUGGACCUCUGAGGAG